Molecule: ribosomal RNA, 274 nt
Filed under: uncultured bacterium
Lineage: Bacteria
Description: partial 16S ribosomal RNA
Rfam family: Bacterial small subunit ribosomal RNA
Source: RNAcentral
AUACGGAUGGUGCGAGCGUUGUUCGGAAUUACUGGGCGUAAAGGGCGCGUAGGCGGCGAUGUAAGUCAAAUGUGAAAGUCCUCGGCUUAACCGGGGAAGUGCAUCUGGAACUGCAUUGCUUGAGUAUGGGAGAGGAAAGUGGAAUUCCCGGUGUAGAGGUGAAAUUCGUAGAGAUCGGGAGGAAUACCGGUGGCGAAGGCGACUUUCUGGACCAAUACUGACGCUGAGGCGCGAAAGCGUGGGGAGCAAACAGGAUUAGAAACCCCAGUAGUCC